UGUGUAGGCGGGGCUGUAAGUCAGAGGUGAAAUCCUACGGCUCAACCGUAGAACUGCCUUUGAUACUGCAGCUCUUGAAUCUCGGAGAGGUCACUAGAAUUCGUGGUGUAGCGGUGAAAUGCGUAGAUAUCACGAGGAAUACCAGAUGCGUAGGCGGGUGACUGGACGAGUAUUGACGCUGAGGCACGAAAGCGUGGGGAGCAAACAGGAUUAGAUACCCUGGUAGUCC
This 229-nucleotide ribosomal RNA is filed under the name uncultured bacterium. RNAcentral describes it as "partial 16S ribosomal RNA". It matches the Rfam family "Bacterial small subunit ribosomal RNA", at positions 568 to 796 of the family's 1533-position model. The record is from RNAcentral.